CUUAUCUUUCAAAACCUGCUCGUAUGAUCUAUUGAAAAGCAUACUUAUAUAAAUAUUUAUAAGAUUUAAACAUCCGAAAUAUUUUUCUCUCUUUUUAGUUUUGGAACAUACAAUGUCAUUCCUUUGUAUUGUUACAUUAUGCAUAUGUGGUCUAACAAGUAUUACUGAGUCAUCCCCUAUAUUUGGAUUUGACUUGAAUCCUCUUGACUACCUUCAGAAAA
Parasteatoda tepidariorum (common house spider) is the source of this 221-nucleotide long non-coding RNA. RefSeq lists it as uncharacterized. The record is from RefSeq and is a predicted model, not a curated record. Lineage: Eukaryota; Metazoa; Arthropoda; Arachnida; Araneae; Theridiidae.